CCUACGGGAGGCAGCAGUGGGGAAUUUUGGACAAUGGGCGAAAGCCUGAUCCAGCCAUUCCGCGUGCAGGAUGAAGGCCCUCGGGUUGUAAACUGCUUUUGUACAGAACGAAAAGGUUUCUACUAAUACUAGGAGCUCAUGACGGUACUGUAAGAAUAAGCACCGGCUAACUACGUGCCAGCAGCCGCGGUAAUACGUAGGGUGCAAGCGUUAAUCGGAAUUACUGGGCGUAAAGCGUGCGCAGGCGGUUAUAUAAGUCAGAUGUGAAAUCCCCGGGCUCAACCUGGGAACUGCAUUUGAGACUGUAUAGCUAGAGUACGGUAGAGGGGGAUGGAAUUCCGCGUGUAGCAGUGAAAUGCGUAGAUAUGCGGAGGAACACCGAUGGCGAAGGCAAUCCCCUGGACCUGUACUGACGCUCAUGCACGAAAGCGUGGGGAGCAAACAGGAUUAGAUACCCUGGUAGUCCACGCCCUAAACGAUGUCAACUGGUUNUUGGGUCUUAACUGACUCAGUAACGAAGCUAACGCGUGAAGUUGACCGCCGCGGGAGGUACGGCCGCGAGGUUAGUAAACGUUAAAGGUAAAGUUAGUACGGACGUGAGACGUAGACCGACGGACGACGACGAGGGAGGAGG
RNAcentral lists this ribosomal RNA (634 nucleotides) under uncultured bacterium. RNAcentral describes it as "bacterial SSU rRNA". The stretch from base 1 to 542 matches the Rfam family "Bacterial small subunit ribosomal RNA", at positions 338 to 873 of the family's 1533-position model. The record is from RNAcentral.